UGCAGUCGAACGGGAUUGAGAGCUUGCUCUCAUGAGAGUGGCGCACGGGUGAGUAACGCGUAUGCAACCUGCCUUUAACAGAGGGAUAGCCCAUAGAAAUGUGGAUUAAUACCUCAUAGUCCUGGAGGAUCGCAUGGUUUUCCAGGUAAAGCUCCGGCGGUUAAAGAUGGGCAUGCGUGACAUUAGCUAGUUGGUGAGGUAACGGCUCACCAAGGCAACGAUGUCUAGGGGUUCUGAGAGGAUGAUCCCCCACACUGGUACUGAGACACGGACCAGACUCCUACGGGAGGCAGCAGUGAGGAAUAUUGGUCAAUGGGCGCAAGCCUGAACCAGCCAUCCCGCGUGCAGGAUGACGGCCCUAUGGGUUGUAAACUGCUUUUAUACAGGAAGAAAAAUCUCUACGUGUAGGGACUUGCCGGUACUGUAUGAAUAAGCAUCGGCUAACUCCGUGCCAGCAGCCGCGGUAAUACGGAGGAUGCAAGCGUUAUCCGGAUUCAUUGGGUUUAAAGGGUGCGUAGGCGGCUCUUUAAGUCAGUGGUGAAAUCCUGCCGCUUAACGGUAGAAUUGCCAUUGAUACUGAAGAGCUUGAGUACAAUUGAGGUAAGCGGAAUGUGUAGUGUAGCGGUGAAAUGCUUAGAUAUUACACAGAACACCAAUUGCGAAGGCAGCUUACUAAACUGUUACUGACGCUGAUGCACGA
This 700-nucleotide ribosomal RNA is filed under the name uncultured bacterium. Its description in RNAcentral is "bacterial SSU rRNA". It matches the Rfam family "Bacterial small subunit ribosomal RNA", at positions 56 to 756 of the family's 1533-position model. The record is from RNAcentral.